GAGAGAAUAGAGCCCAAAUAAGAAUUGCUAACUCCUUAUGACCAUGGUUAAACUCCCUGGUUCCCUCA
Molecule: transfer RNA, 68 nt
Filed under: Rhinatrema nigrum (black caecilian)
Lineage: Eukaryota; Metazoa; Chordata; Amphibia; Gymnophiona; Rhinatrematidae
Description: tRNA-Ser
Source: RNAcentral